UAAUACCCAUAAAACCUAGCGGUCAAACACAAAAUGGUGCCAAUCGGGUGUUUUUAACACUCAUUUUAGAACCACUUCUCUCUCGGACAAGGAAUUAGACCACAAAUAACACAAAAUGUAAAACAGCAUAUUGUGAUUUUUGGUGGGUGAGUUACAAACGGAAAAAUCAACUGGAUGCUUAAUUUAAGGUCCAUGUUGCUGCUGUCAAUUGUGAGAAGAACAUUUACCACUGCAUUCAGUCUGAACCCCAGAAUAAGCAGGACAGCAUUACACAGGUGGAAAAAAAGCUUGCAAAAACAGUACWYCACAACACUGAAAUGUGUUACUGAGUCUAGAUGUUAUCAAAUGAGGGGAAGAACAAGUGAAGGAACCAGUAUAGGGAAAAUGGGUGACGGUAGGGUGGGUUUAUUGAGGGAAGAUGGAGAGUUCCAAAGAGUCCGAAGUUGAGGGAACAUAAAAGGCAUAGUGUGGAAUAAGGGGUAGCUAGAGGGAUAGAAUAAACAUAAAAAAGUGGUUGCUGCUGUGCUUUUUCACCCCUUGUAGGUCGUUGUCACAAAUAUCUGGCCCAUUUCCAAUCACACGGGGUCUCAGCGCGUGUCCCUCAACGUCAUUCAGUCUCAGUUGCAGCAUUCAAAUCAUGCUCAUCGUGUGUCUGAAUCGCAACAUUAAAGAUGAGUGAUCACAGCAUUUUAACAAAUUGAGCCUUACACAAUACAAAUUAAGAAUUGAGGACAGCAUUUUGUUGACAACAUGGUGGUUUACACUAUGUCUACUGUGUGUGAAUGAUGGAAGAAUCUUACCCCAACCAACAGCUGUAGGUCCAUUUGAGUGUGUGGUCACUUAGGCCUGCAUAUCAACCAGUACUGGGACCAUUAGAGACUUGGGAUGCUUGCUGCUUGAAUGUCUUCGGGUCUGUGUCUAUAAAGAUCAAGUACAAAAUGGA
Molecule: long non-coding RNA, 943 nt
Organism: Salvelinus sp. IW2-2015
Lineage: Eukaryota; Metazoa; Chordata; Actinopteri; Salmoniformes; Salmonidae
Source: RefSeq, a predicted model, not a curated record